This 1198-nucleotide long non-coding RNA is filed under the name Oryctolagus cuniculus (rabbit). RNAcentral describes it as "lncRNA (ENSOCUG00000032237.1)". The record is from RNAcentral. Lineage: Eukaryota; Metazoa; Chordata; Mammalia; Lagomorpha; Leporidae.
UGAAAAUUGUGAAGAAGUAUACAUCAUAUUAUAUUCUGAUUGACUAUAUGUCUGUCUUCCCCCAAAAGACCUUAAGUGAUUUGAGGGCAGGUAAAUCUUUCUUAUGGCUAUAAUGGCUAUUGUCAUAAAGUAAAGGUACAUGGCAUAGAGAUUUUCAAAUAUUUUAUCACAGGAGAUUAUUGAAAUUUAAUUUAUCUUUUGCACAAUAUUGAGGUCCAGUCUAACUCUUUGGAAAAAGCUUUAUUUUAUGAUGAUCAAAGACACCGAAAAAAUGAAAUUGAAAAUUUUAAAGCUUUGUGAUUUUUUUUUGCUGUAGAACAAUGAUAUUUUAGGGCAUGAUCCCUUAAAAUCCUUAUCUUCAUUGACCUCCCUACUUUACUUUGGCCACCGACCACAAUGCCUUACCUUAGAUCCUCAUUACUCAGAAAUACUGAGAUGUCAAGUUCUGAAACACCUUCUUUGUGCUCCAAACACAGAUUUGCAUUUACCCACUCCCACAUAGGUUUCUCUGACUCACAUUUUGAUUAAUUUUCCCAAUUGAAUUUCUAGCAUCUGACUUCACAUGAAUAUGACCAAUUAUUUCAGUGAUUUUUUUAGCAUUCUCCUGAUUUUUAUUGUCUAUGACAUGCCAUUUCUCAACCCAGAGUGAAUUUCCACUCUGCUUUCUUGACUCCCACUUCUGAACUGUGAAGCACUGCUACAUAAAUUCAUGAAACUAUGUUAAUUGGAGCCACUGCAAUUUCAUUUUGUCUCACCUCAGUUGAACUGUCCCUGUUGCUUGGCAAUCCUUUUAUUUAUCAGUGUUGAUUCCCCCAUUACAUUUCACAAAGCAGCUGUUCAAACAUUUCUACUCUUCAAGGUUCCAAACUCUCCAUCGUGUUUUUACUUCCAACAGAUGCCUCUCUUAUUGAUAAGGAUAUUAAGUACUAUCAUUUUUAGGCCAGUGCUGUGGCCGGCAUCCACUUUCGAUCCAGCUCCUUGCUAUGGUCUGGGAAGGUAGUAGAAGAUUACCUAAGUGAACCUGCAUGGGAGACCUGGAAGAAGCUCCUGGCUCUGGAUCAAUCCAGCUUCUGCCAUGGCAGCCAUUUGGGAAGUGAACAAGCAGAUGGAAGACCCCUCUCUCUCUCUCACUGCCUCUGCCUCUCUGUAAUUUGGCCUUUCAAAUAAAUAAGUGAAUCUUUAAAAAAAAAAAAAAGGU